GGAGGUCGGCGGCGGACGGUUCCCUCGCCAACCCGGUCAGGUCCGGAAGGAAGCAGCCGUAACGAGUUCCGAGCCGGGUCGUAUGUCCGGCCUCCCGC
This 98-nucleotide signal recognition particle RNA is filed under the name Alphaproteobacteria bacterium. RNAcentral's name for it is "signal recognition particle sRNA small type". It matches the Rfam family "Bacterial small signal recognition particle RNA". From Rfam's summary of the family: The signal recognition particle (SRP) is a universally conserved ribonucleoprotein involved in the co-translational targeting of proteins to membranes. Archaeal SRP consists of a 7S RNA and homologues of the eukaryotic SRP19 and SRP54 proteins. Lineage: Bacteria; Pseudomonadati; Pseudomonadota; Alphaproteobacteria. The record is from RNAcentral.